UGGGGAAUAUUGCACAAUGGGCGCAAGCCUGAUGCAGCCAUGCCGCGUGUGUGAAGAAGGCCUUCGGGUUGUAAAGCACUUUCAGCGGGGAGGAAGGCGAUAAGGUUAAUAACCUUGUCGAUUGACGUUACCCGCAGAAGAAGCACCGGCUAACUCCGUGCCAGCAGCCGCGGUAAUACGGAGGGUGCAAGCGUUAAUCGGAAUUACUGGGCGUAAAGCGCACGCAGGCGGUCUGUCAAGUCGGAUGUGAGAUCCCCGGGCUUAACCUGGGAACUGCAUUCGAAACUGGCAGGCUAGAGUCUUGUAGAGGGGGGUAGAAUUCCAGGUGUAGCGGUGAAAUGCGUAGAGAUCUGGAGGAAUACCGGUGGCGAAGGCGGCCCCCUGGACAAAGACUGACGCUCAGGUGCGAAAGCGUGGGGAGCAAACAGG
Molecule: ribosomal RNA, 429 nt
Filed under: Chloroflexota bacterium
Lineage: Bacteria; Bacillati; Chloroflexota
Description: Chloroflexi bacterium partial 16S ribosomal RNA
Rfam family: Bacterial small subunit ribosomal RNA
Source: RNAcentral